UACGGAGGGUGCAAGCGUUAUCCGGAUUCACUGGGUUUAAAGGGUGCGUAGGUGGGUUGGUAAGUCAGUGGUGAAAUCUCCGAGCUUAACUCGGAAACUGCCAUUGAUACUAUUAAUCUUGAAUAUUGUGGAGGUCAGCGGAAUAUGUCAUGUAGCGGUGAAAUGCUUAGAGAUGACAUAGAACACCAAUUGCGAAGGCAGCUGGCUACACAUAUAUUGACACUGAGGCACGAAAGCGUGGGGAUCAAACAGG
Molecule: ribosomal RNA, 253 nt
Filed under: Terrimonas sp.
Lineage: Bacteria; Pseudomonadati; Bacteroidota; Chitinophagia; Chitinophagales; Chitinophagaceae
Also listed under: 1 other name
Description: partial 16S ribosomal RNA
Rfam family: Bacterial small subunit ribosomal RNA
Source: RNAcentral